GCUUCCAUAGCAGAGUGGUAUUGCGUUCGCUUCGUAAGCCAAAGGUCGCGAGUUCAAUUCUCGCUGAGAGCU
Molecule: transfer RNA, 72 nt
Filed under: Salvia splendens (bonfire salvia)
Lineage: Eukaryota; Viridiplantae; Streptophyta; Magnoliopsida; Lamiales; Lamiaceae
Rfam family: tRNA
About the family: Transfer RNA (tRNA) molecules are approximately 80 nucleotides in length. Their secondary structure includes four short double-helical elements and three loops (D, anti-codon, and T loops).
Source: Rfam by way of RNAcentral